UGCUAGAAGUGCUUGAAGCCAGUUGGUGU
This 29-nucleotide small RNA is filed under the name Bombyx mori (domestic silkworm). Its description in RNAcentral is "ovarian small RNA-34092". The record is from RNAcentral. Lineage: Eukaryota; Metazoa; Arthropoda; Insecta; Lepidoptera; Bombycidae.